AAGACCUUGCGCUUUUGGAGCGGCCGAUGCCUGAUUAGCUUGUUGGUAAGGUAAAGGCUUACCAAGGCUUCGAUCAGUAGCUGGUCUGAGAGGACGGCCAGCCACACUGGGACUGAGACACGGCCCAGACUCCUACAGGAGGCAGCAGUGGGGAAUUUUGGACAAUGGGGGAAACCCUGAUCCAGCCAUGCCGCGUGAGUGAAGAAGGCCUUCGGGUUGUAAAGCUCUUUCAGCCGGAACGAAACGGUUACGGAUAAUACCCGUGACUACUGACGGUACCGGAAGAAGAAGCACCGGCUAACUACGUGCCAGCAGCCGCGGUAAUACGUAGGGUGCGAGCGUUAAUCGGAAUUACUGGGCGUAAAGCGUGCGCAGGUGGUUUUGUAAGUCAGAUGUGAAAGCCCCGGGCUCAACCUGGGAACU
Molecule: ribosomal RNA, 423 nt
Filed under: uncultured bacterium
Lineage: Bacteria
Description: bacterial SSU rRNA
Rfam family: Bacterial small subunit ribosomal RNA
Source: RNAcentral